AGUGGCGCACGGGUGCGUAACGCGUAUGCAACCUACCUCUUACAGGGGGAUAGCCCGGGGAAACCCGGAUUAAUACCGCAUAAGAUCAUAGAGCAGCAUUGCUACAGUGAUUAAAGAUUUAUCGGUAAGAGAUGGGCAUGCGUGCCAUUAGCUAGUUGGUAGUGUAACGGACUACCAAGGCGACGAUGGCUAGGGGUUCUGAGAGGAAGAUCCCCCACACUGGUACUGAGAUACGGACCAGACUCCUACGGGAGGCAGCAGUAGGGAAUAUUGGGCAAUGGCCGCAAGGCUGACCCAGCCAUGCCGCGUGCAGGAAGAAGGCCCUCUGGGUUGUAAACUGCUUUUGACAGGGAAGAAAAGGC
This 362-nucleotide ribosomal RNA is filed under the name uncultured bacterium. RNAcentral describes it as "bacterial SSU rRNA". It matches the Rfam family "Bacterial small subunit ribosomal RNA", at positions 94 to 454 of the family's 1533-position model. The record is from RNAcentral.